Molecule: ribosomal RNA, 496 nt
Filed under: uncultured bacterium
Lineage: Bacteria
Description: partial 16S ribosomal RNA
Rfam family: Bacterial small subunit ribosomal RNA
Source: RNAcentral
GAUGAACGCUGGCGGCGUGCCUAAUACAUGCAAGUCGAGCGAACAGACGAGGAGCUUGCUCCUCUGACGUUAGCGGCGGACGGGUGAGUAACACGUGGAUAACCUACCUAUAAGACUGGGAUAACUUCGGGAAACCGGAGCUAAUACCGGAUAAUAUAUUGAACCGCAUGGUUCAAUAGUGAAAGACGGUUUUGCUGUCACUUAUAGAUGGAUCCGCGCCGCAUUAGCUAGUUGGUAAGGUAACGGCUUACCAAGGCAACGAUGCGUAGCCGACCUGAGAGGGUGAUCGGCCACACUGGAACUGAGACACGGUCCAGACUCCUACGGGAGGCAGCAGUAGGGAAUCUUCCGCAAUGGGCGAAAGCUUGACGGAGCAACGCAGCGUGAGUGAUGAAGGUCUUCGGAUCGUAAAACUCUGUUAUUAGGGAAGAACAAAUGUGUAAGUAACUAUGCACGUCUGGACGGUACCUAAUCAGAAAGCCACGGCUAACUACGU